RNAcentral lists this ribosomal RNA (960 nucleotides) under Enterococcus faecalis. RNAcentral describes it as "bacterial SSU rRNA". It matches the Rfam family "Bacterial small subunit ribosomal RNA", at positions 1 to 966 of the family's 1533-position model. Lineage: Bacteria; Bacillati; Bacillota; Bacilli; Lactobacillales; Enterococcaceae. The record is from RNAcentral.
UCAACGGAGAGUUUGAUUCUGGCUCAGGACGAACGCUGGCGGCGUGCUUAACACAUGCAAGUCGAACGAUGAAGCCUAGCUUGCUAGGUGGAUUAGUGGCGAACGGGUGAGUAAUACGUGAGUAACCUACCUUUAACUCUGGGAUAAGCCUGGGAAACUGGGUCUAAUACCGGAUACGACCAAUCUCCGCAUGGGGUGUUGGUGGAAAGCGUUAUGUAGUGGUUAUAGAUGGGCUCACGGCCUAUCAGCUUGUUGGUGAGGUAACGGCUCACCAAGGCGACGACGGGUAGCCGGCCUGAGAGGGUGACCGGCCACACUGGGACUGAGACACGGCCCAGACUCCUACGGGAGGCAGCAGUGGGGAAUAUUGCACAAUGGGCGCAAGCCUGAUGCAGCGACGCCGCGUGAGGGAUGACGGCCUUCGGGUUGUAAACCUCUGUUAGCAGGGAAGAAGAGAGAUUGACGGUACCUGCAGAGAAAGCGCCGGCUAACUACGUGCCAGCAGCCGCGGUAAUACGUAGGGCGCGAGCGUUGUCCGGAAUUAUUGGGCGUAAAGAGCUUGUAGGCGGUUUGUCGCGUCUGCUGUGAAAGGCCGGGGCUUAACCCCGUGUAUUGCAGUGGGUACGGGCAGACUAGAGUGCAGUAGGGGAGACUGGAAUUCCUGGUGUAGCGGUGGAAUGCGCAGAUAUCAGGAGGAACACCGAUGGCGAAGGCAGGUCUCUGGGCUGUAACUGACGCUGAGAAGCGAAAGCAUGGGGAGCGAACAGGAUUAGAUACCCUGGUAGUCCAUGCCGUAAACGUUGGGCACUAGGUGUGGGGGACAUUCCACGUUUUCCGCGCCGUAGCUAACGCAUUAAGUGCCCCGCCUGGGGAGUACGGCCGCAAGGCUAAAACUCAAAGAAAUUGACGGGGGCCCGCACAAGCGGCGGAGCAUGCGGAUUAAUUCGAUGCAACGCGAAG